ACGUCAUCCAAAAUUCGUUGGUUCUCGUCCGAUCACCGAAGUUAAGCAAUGUCAGGCCCGGUCAGUACUUGGGAGGGUGACCACCUGGGAACACCGGGUGCAUAAUA
This 107-nucleotide ribosomal RNA is filed under the name Cordylochernes scorpioides. The record is from RNAcentral. Lineage: Eukaryota; Metazoa; Arthropoda; Arachnida; Pseudoscorpiones; Chernetidae.